Molecule: small RNA, 93 nt
Filed under: Alishewanella agri BL06
Lineage: Bacteria; Pseudomonadati; Pseudomonadota; Gammaproteobacteria; Alteromonadales; Alteromonadaceae
Description: t44 RNA
Rfam family: t44 RNA
About the family: This family consists of a number of bacterial RNA genes of between 135 and 170 bases in length. The t44 gene is found between the map and rpsB genes in all species in the full alignment apart from Shigella flexneri. The function of this RNA is unknown.
Source: Rfam by way of RNAcentral
AAACCCUAAAUUAAAUAACACACAUGCAUCGACACAUAUUCCGGGGUGCCUGACGAGAGUCGGGUCGGCAUAUGGGAUGCAUGGAGGCCUAAC